AUGAGGCUUGAUCAUCAGAACAUUGUACAGUUAGUCGGCUAUUGCUACGAAACACAUCAUAAACCUAUGCUGCACAAUGGAGAAACCAUUUACGCUGAAGAAACAAACAGAGUGCUCUGUUUUGAGUAUAUGCCAAAUGGGAGCCUUCGAAAUCAUAUUUCUGAGGAAUGUGAUGGACUUGACUGGCAGACACGUUAUGAAAUUAUCAAAGGAAUAUGUGAGGGCUUAAAAUACCUUCAUGAAGGAUUCAAAGAACCAAUUUACCAUAUGGACUUAAAACCUGAUAAUAUACUGCUAGAUGAGAAUAUGAUGCCAAAACUAGCUGAUUUUGGCUUGUCUAAGCUCUACGAUGGAGAACAAUCGAUGAUCACUCAAAUUCUUACAGGAACAAUUGGAUACUUGCCACCGGAAUAUUUAUUUGAACACAUAGUCUCGAAGAAGUUGGACAUAUUCAGUCUUGGUGUUGUAGUGACGAAGAUAAUUACGGGACCUAGAGGCCCCACUAGAAGGGGUGAAAUGACACAACAAGAGUUUACUAAUCAACAACAAUAUUAUUAG
Molecule: ribosomal RNA, 558 nt
Filed under: Triticum aestivum (bread wheat)
Lineage: Eukaryota; Viridiplantae; Streptophyta; Magnoliopsida; Poales; Poaceae
Description: partial small subunit ribosomal RNA
Source: RNAcentral